GUGUCAGCAGCCGCGGUAAGACAGGGGGCUCGAGCGUUAAUCGGAAUCAUUGGGCUUAAAGGGUGCGUAGGCGGGUUGCUAAGUGUUCUGUGAAAUCCCCCGGCUCAACCGGGGAAUCGCAGGGCAUACUGGCAGCCUUGAGGCAUGUAGGGGCGGACGGAACUGUAGGUGGAGCGGUGAAAUGCGUAGAUAUCUACAGGAACGCCGAUGGUGAAGACGGUCCGCUGGGCAUGUCCUGACGCUGAGGCACGAAAGCGUGGGGAGCAAACAGGAUUAGAUACCCUUGUAGUCC
RNAcentral lists this ribosomal RNA (292 nucleotides) under uncultured bacterium. Its description in RNAcentral is "partial 16S ribosomal RNA". It matches the Rfam family "Bacterial small subunit ribosomal RNA", at positions 505 to 796 of the family's 1533-position model. The record is from RNAcentral.